UACGUAGGUGGCAAGCGUUGUCCGGAUUUACUGGGCGUAAAGAGCGCGCAGGCGGUCGGAUAAGUCGAAUGUGAAAGCCCCCGGCUCAACUGGGGAGGGUCAUUCGAUACUGUUCGACUCGAAGGCAGGAGAGGGAAGUGGAAUUCCCGGUGUAGUGGUGAAAUGCGUAGAUAUCGGGAGGAACACCAGUGGCGAAGGCGACUACCUGGCCUGUUUCUUGACGCUGAGGCGCGAAAGCUAGGGGAGCAAACGGG
Molecule: ribosomal RNA, 254 nt
Filed under: uncultured bacterium
Lineage: Bacteria
Description: partial 16S ribosomal RNA
Rfam family: Bacterial small subunit ribosomal RNA
Source: RNAcentral